This 45-nucleotide non-coding RNA is filed under the name Echinostoma caproni. The record is from RNAcentral. Lineage: Eukaryota; Metazoa; Platyhelminthes; Trematoda; Plagiorchiida; Echinostomatidae.
GCACUGCUGAUGAGUCCCAAACAGGACGAAACAGUUGCCCAGUGC